UGAGGAAUAUUGGUCAAUGGGCGAGAGCCUGAACCAGCCAAGUCGCGUGAGGGAUGACGGCCUACGGGUUGUAAACCUCUUUUGCCGGGGAGGCAAUGCAUCCGCACGAGUGCGGAGCGGGAGAGUACCCGGAGAAAAAGCAUCGGCUAACUCCGUGCCAGCAGCCGCGGUAAUACGGAGGAUGCGAGCGUUAUCCGGAUUUAUUGGGUUUAAAGGGUGCGUAGGCGGAACGCCAAGUCAGCGGUAAAAAAUUCGGGGCUGCAACCCGCACGUCGCUGUCGUAAACUGGUGUCCUUGAGUGGGCGAGAAGUAUGCGGAAUGCGUGGUGUAGCGGUGAAAUGCAUAGAUAUCACGCAGAACUCCGAUUGCGAAGGCAGCAUACCGGCGCCGCACUGACGCUGAAGCACGAAAGCGUGGGUAUCGAACAGGAUUAGAUACC
RNAcentral lists this ribosomal RNA (439 nucleotides) under uncultured bacterium. RNAcentral describes it as "bacterial SSU rRNA". It matches the Rfam family "Bacterial small subunit ribosomal RNA", at positions 355 to 786 of the family's 1533-position model. The record is from RNAcentral.